RNAcentral lists this ribosomal RNA (450 nucleotides) under uncultured bacterium. Its description in RNAcentral is "partial 16S ribosomal RNA". It matches the Rfam family "Bacterial small subunit ribosomal RNA", at positions 338 to 795 of the family's 1533-position model. The record is from RNAcentral.
CCUACGGGGGGCAGCAGUGGGGAAUUUUGGACAAUGGGGGCAACCCUGAUCCAGCCAUGCCGCGUGCGGGAAGAAGGCCUUCGGGUUGUAAACCGCUUUUAGCCGGGAGGAAAAGGCGAGGGAUAACACCCUUCGUUCUUGACGGUACCGGCGGAAUAAGCACCGGCUAACUACGUGCCAGCAGCCGCGGUAAUACGUAGGGUGCGAGCGUUACUCGGAAUUACUGGGCGUAGAGCGUGCACUGGCGGGUGAAAGCCCCGGGAUCAACCUGGGAAUGGCAUUGGAUACUGGCGGGCUUGAGUGUGGCAGAGGGGGGUGGAAUUCCGCGUGUAGCAGUGAAAUGCGUAGAGAUGCGGAGGAACACCGAUGGCGAAGGCAGCCCCCUGGGCUGACCCUGACGCUCAGGCACGAAAGCGUGGGGAGCAAACAGGAUUAGAUACCCGAGUAGUC